Molecule: ribosomal RNA, 305 nt
Filed under: uncultured bacterium
Lineage: Bacteria
Description: bacterial SSU rRNA
Rfam family: Bacterial small subunit ribosomal RNA
Source: RNAcentral
UUUUCCUACGGGGGGCAGCAGUGGGGAAUAUUGCACAAUGGGGGAAACCCUGAUGCAGCGACGCCGCGUGAGUGAAGAAGUAUUUCGGUACGUAAAGCCCUAUCAGCAGGGAAGAAAAUGACGGUACCUGACUAAGAAGCCCCGGCUAACUACGUGCCAGCAGCCGCGGUAAUACAUAGGGAGCAAGCGUUAUCCGGAUUUAUUGGGUGUAAAGGGUGCGUAGACGGGAAAUUAAGUUAGUUGUGAAAUCCCUCGGCUUAACUGAGGAACUGCAACUAAAACUGGUUUUCUUGAGUACUGGAGAG